GAUGAACGCUAGCUACAGGCUUAACACAUGCAAGUCGAGGGGAAACGAUGAUAGAGCUUGCUCUCUUAGUCGUCGACCGGCGCACGGGUGAGUAACGCGUAUCCAACCUGCCUCUGACCAAGGGAUAACCCGUCGAAAGUCUGACUCAUACCUUAUGCAGUCGUCGGAAGUCAUCUGAUGACGACGAAAGAUUUCAUCGGUGAGAGAUGGGGAUGCGUCUGAUUAGCUUGUUGGCGGGGUAACGGCCCACCAAGGCGACGAUCAGUAGGGGUUCUGAGAGGAAGGUCCCCCACAUUGGAACUGAGACACGGUCCAAACUCCUACGGGAGGCAGCAGUGAGGAAUAUUGGUCAAUGGGCGUAAGCCUGAACCAGCCAAGUAGCGUGCAGGAUGACGGCCCUAUGGGUUGUAAACUGCUUUUAUGCGGGGAUAAAGUGAGGGACGUGUCCUUCAUUGCAGGUACCGCAUGAAUAAGGACCGGCUAAUUCCGUG
This 491-nucleotide ribosomal RNA is filed under the name uncultured bacterium. Its description in RNAcentral is "partial 16S ribosomal RNA". It matches the Rfam family "Bacterial small subunit ribosomal RNA", at positions 28 to 507 of the family's 1533-position model. The record is from RNAcentral.